RNAcentral lists this transfer RNA (82 nucleotides) under Pelodiscus sinensis (Chinese soft-shelled turtle). It matches the Rfam family "tRNA". From Rfam's summary of the family: Transfer RNA (tRNA) molecules are approximately 80 nucleotides in length. Their secondary structure includes four short double-helical elements and three loops (D, anti-codon, and T loops). The record is from Rfam by way of RNAcentral. Lineage: Eukaryota; Metazoa; Chordata; Testudines; Trionychidae.
ACUGUGAUGGCCGAGUGGUUAAGGUGUUGGACUAGAAAUCCCAUAGGGUUUACCUGUGCAGGUUCAAAUCCUGCUCACAGCU